GAUGAAGAACGUAGCGAAAUGCGAUACGUAAUGUGAAUUGCAGAAUUCAGUGAAUCAUCGAAUCUUUGAACGCACAUUGCACUCUCUGGUAUUCCGGAGAGUAUGCUUGUUUGAGUAUCUGUAAACAUCUCAAAUCUCUCUUCAAUUGCUUCAAUUGGGUCGAGAGAAUUGGAUUUGAGCGAUCCCGACUCCUUCGUCAGAAAGAGGAGGGUCGCUUGAAAUGCAGGUGCAGCUGGACAUUCUUCUGAGCAAAAAGCAUAUCUAUUUAGUCCCGUCAAACGGAUUAUUACUUUUGCUUCAGCUAAUAUAAAGGUUGAAUGAACUACCAACGCUGAUUGCAGGAAAACAUGUUCGUUUAUUCGGACUUGUAAACUCGAUCUCAAAUCAAGUAAGACUACCCGCUGAACUUAAGCAUAUCAAUAAGCGGAUGA
This 431-nucleotide unclassified non-coding RNA is filed under the name soil metagenome. Its description in RNAcentral is "partial contains 5.8S ribosomal RNA, internal transcribed spacer 2, and large subunit ribosomal RNA". The stretch from base 1 to 120 matches the Rfam family "5.8S ribosomal RNA", at positions 35 to 154 of the family's 154-position model. The record is from RNAcentral.